Molecule: long non-coding RNA, 1023 nt
Filed under: Aotus nancymaae (Ma's night monkey)
Lineage: Eukaryota; Metazoa; Chordata; Mammalia; Primates; Aotidae
Description: lncRNA (ENSANAG00000039535.1)
Source: RNAcentral
CAGCGGUUGGCAGAGACUCCUAGCUUAUCAGUGUAAACUGUGGUUAUUGGAAAGUGGGUAGAAUCAGGUUUGGAUUCCCCCAGAAGCAGAGACAGAGCAAAAGGAUUCCAGAGUGUGAAGAGAGAAGCUUCCUCCAGCGAAGCAGCAGCCCCAGCGCUGGUCCUGUAGUGGAAACCGAGAUGAGAGAAGCCCCAGGCAUGGGCUGGCGAGGAUGCAGUGCACAGAGCAGCUGGGACAGGGCCAGCACCAGCGGCAUAACACAUGCUGCUAUUCCUAUCCCUGGGGGCCCUCGGAGAUGGCUGGGAGCAGCCCAAUGUCAGGGCAGGUGAAUGACGUGAGCAGCCAUGCUGGGCAUAGCUGGGUCCAACUAUGAGGAGGCAUGACUGGCUAUCAGUGCUGCCUGGUGACAGGUGGCUUAGCUGGAGUCCUGGCUCUGUCACCUACCAGCUGUGUGACUGUGGGCCAGUGGCCCCAUGUCUCUGUGCCCCACCUUCUUCAUCUGUACAGCAGGGUGAUACUGAGAGUACCUAUUUCUCAGGGAUGUUACGAAGGUCAAAGGAACACAUCCAAGUGUCAUUCCUAGAGGGCGUGAAUUCCCUGGGGCUUUUGUCUUCUGCCCAGGCAGCAAAGCAGAUGCAAGUGGUCAGAGAAGGCUGCCAGAUCCCUACCUCGACACUCACAUAAGAGAAGAGUGAAGUUUCGGGGACGCCGCACCUCAAGGCAGUUCCACCGCGCGAGGUGCUGAGCUUGCGGUAUUACUCAUGCACCUUUCUGAUAAGAAAAGUGAAAACGCGAAGUUGAAAACUCAAGACGCCCAGCAACUUCCUGAAUCCAGCUCUCCACGUCCUGCUCUACGGGACGGGCGACUCCCAGAGCGGAAUCGUUGGCGGGAGUCCCACGUUUCGUUGGCGUGGGAAGGGGAACUGGUCGGGGCAGGUUCGGUUUCAGGGUCUCCCCUCACCUGGCAGCGGGGAGGUGAGGGCCCCCAGCAGGCUGGCCACGCCACCCUGGCCUCGAGGCCGG